This 74-nucleotide transfer RNA is filed under the name Planctomycetes bacterium RBG_13_60_9. RNAcentral's name for it is "tRNA-Val". It matches the Rfam family "tRNA". From Rfam's summary of the family: Transfer RNA (tRNA) molecules are approximately 80 nucleotides in length. Their secondary structure includes four short double-helical elements and three loops (D, anti-codon, and T loops). The record is from RNAcentral. Lineage: Bacteria; Pseudomonadati; Planctomycetota.
GGGCGGUUAGCUCAGUUGGCUAGAGCGCCUGCUCGACACGCAGGAGGUCAGAAGUUCAAGUCUUCUACCGCCCA